GAGACUCAUCUAUCUCGAAGAAAGAGAUCCAUGCAUUGAUCUAACUGGAUCAAUCACCAUCCCUAUGAUGAUCCAUCGAUUAGAAAUAAUUUAAAAAUUAAUUAUACAUAUCUCAAAUUUUAAAGUCUUUAGAAUAUGUAUCUUUAAAUUAUUAAUUUUUUGAAUAAUUUUCGGACCCAUAAUAUAAGAAUAGAUAAAACUUGCCUAGUUUGAUAAUUUAAGUACAAAUAUAUGUUCUAAACUUAUUACAAUAUAUUUGUCAUAUUGGCUUUUAGGGUAUAUAUUUAAUAAUCUCCUACUUGGUCUAGAGCCAAUUGGCCACUAACCUGUCUC
Molecule: long non-coding RNA, 333 nt
Filed under: Elaeis guineensis (African oil palm)
Lineage: Eukaryota; Viridiplantae; Streptophyta; Magnoliopsida; Arecales; Arecaceae
Description: long non-coding RNA (EGUI_LNC040632)
Source: RNAcentral